AGGUGCGGAAAGGGUUUCAGCCUCGGAGGCUGAGGCCGGGAGGUGAAGACGCUGCUCCCCGAAGUGAGGAAAACGCCAGUGAGGAAGAGGCCUUUCCAGGUCCUGUGCGUGUUGCCUUUUGAGCUCACUAGGCUCCUGGCACAUACAGCCUUGACGACUGGGAGAAUCAUGAAAGAAGGAUGCACUUGGUUUUCUGUGCCCAUUUCACAGAUAGACUCAAGCUUGGAUUUGCUGCAGUGACGGUGUUUCAGAACAUUAGGCAUACAGUACCACAGGGUUAAAAAUAAAUCACUAUACUGAAAUUACAGCUUGAGGAUUAUGCUUUGCUAGAAAAGCAGUUAAAUGAAGAAUUCAUCUUUCCCCCAAGGAAAAAAAAAACAUAGAUCCUGACUCUGAGAAUUAAACUGAAUUGUAGUCCUAUUUGCAUAAGACAGAAAAGGACAUUUGACCUUUCUAAGGUUGUAUUACACACCUCCAGUGUCUGGCCUUGCAUCUUCCCAGCCCAACUUUGCUGUGAACAGGUGUAACCUGAGAGCACCUUGCCUCAGCUGCACCUGGUAUUCCCCUGCGUCUCUGGGACUGCAACCUGGGACCCUUGCAGGAAUCCACUGCCCACUCUGACACAUGAGUAAACCUGGAAGUACAAAGGAACACCUCAAGGGACAAACUUUGACCAAAGGGCAGGCAGGAACUGCUGGAAAAAUACUCUGCUCUUCCAGUCUUGCAGUGGGCAAUUCUGGGAUAUGUUCUAUGCAGCUCCUAAAAUGAUAGCCUUCUGUUUGCCCAUAGUAGUGACCAAUUGAUCAACUCACGAAUACACCCUUGGAUGCCGUUCUCUUUCCCUCCUUCCCUAUUUAACUCUUCCCAGCCCUCCCCUCCAAUUCCUUGGGAUUUGAUUAUGUAGCUUUAAAUGACUCCAAACACUUUCACUUUGUUGUGAGAGUGACAUUGUUUUACUGUAAUUACAACAUGGAGUGAACUCUCCCUGCUCAAGGGAAUGAUAUGUCACUCCUUAUCAGACCCCACAUGUGAGCUACUGACACCAACCACUGGACUCCAAAACACAUAGAAAGCCAAGAUUUUGACAGACACUUGGAGAGCUUAGGAUGUGGCCAGACCACCCUCUGGAGGCCCUGAAGCUAUUUUUGAAGCCUCGUCUCACAACACUGGCACCGCUCUCUAGCAUCAAGGGACCUCAUGUAUCUUCAUGAAUCUCCAUUGUAUUAGUCAAGCUGUCCCUCCCGAGAACCUCUCCCAGAAAGUUGUGCCUCAAACUCUGAUUGGACUUUGCAUCCACAAAAGCCUGCUUUCCAUCUGAAGUGGGCAGUUGAACUUGUUUUUUUUUUUUUUUUGAGAUGGAGUCUCACUCUUGUCGUCCAGGCUGGAGUGCAAUGGUGUGAUCUCAGCUCACUGCAACCUCCACCUCCCGGGUUCAAGCGAUUCUCCUGCCCCAGCCUCCCGAGUAGCUGGGACAGGUGCCCACCACCAUGCCCAGCUAAUUUUUGUAUUUUUAGUAGAGAUGGGGUUUCACCACGUUGGCCAGGCUGAUCUCGAACUCCUGACCUCAGAUGAUCCACCCGCCUCGGCCUCCCAAAGUUCUGGGAUUACAGGCAUGAGCCACCAUGCUCAGCCUCAAUUGAGCUUUAAUAACUGGAUUCUAAAUGAAACUGGAGCUCACUCGUUAUGUGAUUAAUAUACCUUGUCUGUUGAGUGUAUCCCUUGUGAGAUUUGUUCUCAUUAUUCUCCCCCGUUUUAAGAAUUCUGAAAAAGACCUCUUUGGCAAUAAACUGUGUGAUUCA
Long non-coding RNA from Macaca fascicularis (crab-eating macaque), 1799 nucleotides. Lineage: Eukaryota; Metazoa; Chordata; Mammalia; Primates; Cercopithecidae. The record is from Ensembl.